This 448-nucleotide long non-coding RNA is filed under the name Mytilus galloprovincialis (Mediterranean mussel). The record is from RNAcentral. Lineage: Eukaryota; Metazoa; Mollusca; Bivalvia; Mytilida; Mytilidae.
UUUUUUUUUAAAAUAAAGUUGACUUGCUAGACCCCUCCCCCUUUAAAAAUCCUUGAUUCUCAUCUAAACUGUUAACGAGGUUGCUUAAGUAAUAACAAUUAUGUUUGAGAAUUAAAAAUAGAUAGGUUCCUUUAAAUGAAGCUGAACAUAGGUUUCUUUAAAUGAAGCUGAACAUUUUGUUUAAAUUUUCUAGAAUAUACAUCACAUGCGAUUUUAAUCGUCGACAUUAAUUUGAAAUCCUUGUUAAUUAAUGCGUGACUUGGGCUUCUGGUACAUAUUAAAACGUGGAUUUUUUCAUCCAAACUCACUAAAAGAUUCUUGAGAGUCAAAUUUCCACAGAAUUAAAAAAUUAAUUAACAAUAAAAAAUUUAACAUUUUGAUAAAAUAAAAAAAUACACUAACCCUUUGCAGUUCAACUUUUAAUCUGGGUUCCGGAAAACUUUUUAAA